GACGAACGCUGGCGGCGUGCCUAAUACAUGCAAGUCGAGCGCAGGAAAUCGACGGAACCCUUCGGGGGGAAGUCGACGGAAUGAGCGGCGGACGGGUGAGUAACACGUAAAGAACCUGCCCUCAGGUCUGGGAUAACCACGAGAAAUCGGGGCUAAUACCGGAUGGGUCAUCGGACCGCAUGGUCCGAGGAUGAAAGGCGCUCCGGCGUCGCCUGGGGAUGGCUUUGCGGUGCAUUAGCUAGUUGGUGGGGUAAUGGCCCACCAAGGCGACGAUGCAUAGCCGACCUGAGAGGGUGAUCGGCCACACUGGGACUGAGACACGGCCCAGACUCCUACGGGAGGCAGCAGUAGGGAAUCUUCCACAAUGGACGAAAGUCUGAUGGAGCAACGCCGCGUGAACGAUGAAGGCCUUCGGGUCGUAAAGUUCUGUUGUAAGGGAAGAACAAGUGCCGCAGGCAAUGGCGGCACCUUGACGGUACCUUGCGAGAGAGCCACGGCUAACUACGUGCCAGCCGCCGCAGUAA
Molecule: ribosomal RNA, 524 nt
Filed under: uncultured bacterium
Lineage: Bacteria
Description: partial 16S ribosomal RNA
Rfam family: Bacterial small subunit ribosomal RNA
Source: RNAcentral